AUACAUAAUUUUCAUCAUCAUUAUUAUUAUAAUUCAAAUAUGUCGAUGUUUUGAAGUCGACCUAAACGCCCAAUCAGCUAAAAUGGGCAAUUGAGUUCACACUCCAUUUACGGCCGUUUUCAAUAACCUAUCUAUCCCUAGUUUCGGUUACUAAAGAUAGACAAAUCUAUAUUUUUGUCCUUACUUACGUUCCAAUAACCUAUCGACGGGCAGCAGUUCCUAUCGGAUUUAUCUAUCCAUCGUCGGGAGGACGGAUAGCCUGCUAAAGAUAGAACGCUCAUACAAAUCGUGCUUACUUCCGUUUCAAUAUGAGUUUUAAGUAACUCUCCGGUAGGCGGCGCUAUCUCUAGUAUGGGCAUUCGCUUAUCUGUCAAAAUCGGCCGGUUACAUGUUUAUCUUUCGAAAGUAAAUCGCUAUAAUUUAAUAAUUGUUUCUCUUCAUAUUGGCAUAUUGUAGCAGUGAUGAUGGUGAUAUGGAAUUAUUUCAAAUGAUAAUGGAUUGUGAUGCAGAUAGUGAUAGUGAGGCCGAUAUCAUAUGGUUAGGAAAAUAAAGAUCGUCUGAAUUACAUGGCGAAGAUCAAUAAUUACGAAUUUGACUAUAGAUUUCUGAGCAAAGGUGUUGUGAAUGAAUUGAUUAAUUUAAUGAGACCAUAUUUGAGUGUAACGUCAAAAAGGUAAGAUAAAUUUUAACCAUAAAAGUAUUCGUUAUUACAACUUAUAUUUGUUUAUAGCAAUAGCAAAAUAAUACCUAAUUUUUGUUGUGUUACAAAAUCACACUCAACAGGAAUUCUAUAAUACUGCUGGAUUCCCAUGGUGCCCUAAAUGACAUUCAUAUACUAAUACAAUAACCUGGUAGGCUAUUUACCUUCAUUCUUAUUACACACUGAUACCUCUACAUUUUAUAUUUGUGUUACAGAUUCAAAUAUAGGACAGGAAUUUAGAAAUAGAAAAAGAGUAUUUUGAAUGUGUAAUUUGUGUGCAAUGCAUCAUUGAUGUUUCAAAAUGUUGUUGCUUGAUGGCCUGGGUCUACUCAUGAUACAACUAUAAUUGAGUCGACUAUUAUCAAAGCCGGCAAUCUGACUUUUGGACAAUGAUUGGUAAAUCAGAAAAACCAAUUAUUGACUUUGUAUUCCAUUGGCAGUCACAAAACUCUUCGGAACGACAUCUUAGAUAAAUAACAGGUUAACUAUUAACCUUUAUUUAAUGCAGGUUUUGAACCGUAUUCUGUGAAGGAGACGAUUAUAUUCAAAUCAAUCUGUAUUGACAUAUCAAUAAAAUUUUUUUGUCCAAAUGCACAGAUUGCCACCUUUGAUAAUAGACGACUCAAUUAACCAUUCCGAUUGAAAAGAUGCAUUGGUGUUUGUAAAAGAAGACUCCCUGUAUAUCAUUGAAAAGUAGAUUAAAACUAGAAAAUAUGCAAGCUGUUAUUAUAGCUGCCAUGCUGCAUAAUAUCGUCAGAAUGAAUUUAGAAGAAUUAGAAUCACAAAUUUCAGUCGCAGAUACAUUACAGGAAAAUAAUAUAAUUAUUUGUAACAAUUUUUCAAAACUUACAUCUGAAAUACAACUAUGUACUUAUAAAUAAUUGCUUCCAAAGAUAAUUUAUAAAAUAAACUCCAAAGAUAA
Molecule: long non-coding RNA, 1622 nt
Organism: Bombyx mori (domestic silkworm)
Lineage: Eukaryota; Metazoa; Arthropoda; Insecta; Lepidoptera; Bombycidae
Exons: 2
Source: RefSeq, a predicted model, not a curated record